UCAAGAAGCGAUUGGGACCCUUCCGAUUCCAAGAAGUGCCGCCGGUUUGCCAUCUAUCCCUUUGCCUUCUCUCUCUCACCAGGUUUAGGCUUAGGUUUCUCGAUGUAUUUCCGGUUAAUCUUUUUGGAGAGGUCAGCAUCAGCUACUCGGAAUUGAUUUCGUUCAAAGAAGGUAGGUUCCUUGUGGACCCUUAUAUCUUUGUUCUUUCCUUUUCCUUGUGGCUGAGGAGUGUUUUGGUUUCCGAGCUCCACUUUCGAGUACUCGGUUUCUGUGAUGCUGGCUUAAUCGGUUCCAACCGACCCGUCUUGAAACACGGACCAAGGAGUCUAACAUAUGUGCGAGUAUGCGGGUUUUACUCCUGUAUGCGCAAUGAAAGUGAGAGUAGGGAGAUUUUGGCUUUGCCAUUCUUCGCACCUACGACCGACCACGAUCUCUGAGAGAGGUUUGAGUUGGAGCAUAUCUGUUAGGACCCGAAAGAUGGUGAACUAUGCCUGAGUAGAAUGAAGUCAGGGGAAACCCUGAUGGAGGUUCGUAGCGAUACUGACGUGCAAAUCGUUCGUCAAACUUGGGUA
RNAcentral lists this ribosomal RNA (572 nucleotides) under Hammondia heydorni. Its description in RNAcentral is "LSU rRNA". It matches the Rfam family "Eukaryotic large subunit ribosomal RNA", at positions 412 to 917 of the family's 3401-position model. Lineage: Eukaryota; Apicomplexa; Conoidasida; Eucoccidiorida; Sarcocystidae. The record is from RNAcentral.